This is a long non-coding RNA of Xyrauchen texanus (razorback sucker), 356 nucleotides long. RefSeq lists it as uncharacterized. NCBI's taxonomy places the organism in Eukaryota, Metazoa, Chordata, Actinopteri, Cypriniformes, Catostomidae. The transcript is spliced from 4 exons. The record is from RefSeq and is a predicted model, not a curated record.
GAUGAACGUCGAUGAGUCAAUUGACCUUUUUCACGGACUGUAACUAUUUCCAAAGAAGCUCAGAAAAUGCGAUCCGAGGUGCAAAAAAUGGGGAGUUCCCAUUGAGAAGAUCUGUAAGAAAACACAGCGAGAGAAGUUUGCCUGGGAUAUCGACAUGGCAGAUGAGAACUUUGUUUAGUUUUUGGUGAGAGAUGGGGGAAAUAAAAAGGGCCAGACCUCAGAGUGAGGGAGUGACAGCCGAGCUUCACAGCUGUUGAGAGACGGGGGAAAUAAAAGGGGCCAGACCUCUGAGUGAGGGAGAGAGAGCCGACUUCAGAGCUGUGUGUGUGUUACAGAACUGUUGCACUGAAAAGCAC